AUUGAACGCUGGCGGCAUGCCUUACACAUGCAAGUCGAACGGCAGCACGGGUGCUUGCACCUGGUGGCGAGUGGCGAACGGGUGAGUAAUACAUCGGAACGUACCUUAUCGUGGGGGAUAACGCAGCGAGAGCUGUGCUAAUACCGCAUACGCCCUGAGGGGGAAAGCGGGGGAUCGCAAGACCUCGCGCGAUUAGAGCGGCAGAUGCUUGAUUAGCGUGUUAGUGGGGAAAAAGCCCACCAAGGCGACGAUCAGUAGCUGGUCUGGGAGGACGAUCAGCCACACUGGGACGAGACCACGGCCCAGACUCCUACGGAGGGCGGCGGUGGGGAAUUUUGGACAAUGGGGGAAGCCUUGAUCCAGCAAUGCCGCGGGAGUGAAGAAGGCCUUCGGGUUGAAAAGCUCUUUUGUCAGGGAAGAAACACCGGCUCUAACACAGUCCGGGAAUGACGGUACCUGAAGAAUAAGCACCGGCUAACUACGUGCCAGCAGCCGCCGUAA
This 501-nucleotide ribosomal RNA is filed under the name uncultured bacterium. RNAcentral's name for it is "partial 16S ribosomal RNA". It matches the Rfam family "Bacterial small subunit ribosomal RNA", at positions 29 to 523 of the family's 1533-position model. The record is from RNAcentral.